UAAUUGAAGAGUUUGAUCAUGGCUCAGAUUGAACGCUGGCGGCAGGCCUAACACAUGCAAGUCGAACGGUAGCACAGAGAGCUUGCUCUUGGGUGACGAGUGGCGGACGGGUGAGUAAUGUCUGGGAAACUGCCCGAUGGAGGGGGAUAACUACUGGAAACGGUAG
RNAcentral lists this ribosomal RNA (166 nucleotides) under Erwinia amylovora. RNAcentral describes it as "partial 16S ribosomal RNA". It matches the Rfam family "Bacterial small subunit ribosomal RNA", at positions 1 to 162 of the family's 1533-position model. The record is from RNAcentral. Lineage: Bacteria; Pseudomonadati; Pseudomonadota; Gammaproteobacteria; Enterobacterales; Erwiniaceae.